Molecule: transfer RNA, 66 nt
Filed under: Delma butleri
Lineage: Eukaryota; Metazoa; Chordata; Lepidosauria; Squamata; Pygopodidae
Description: tRNA-Cys
Source: RNAcentral
AAGCCCCGGUACCACACUAUGGUACUUCUUCAAAUUUGCAAUUUGAUGUGAAUCACUGCGAAGCCC